GAUGAACGCUGACAGAAUGCUUAACACAUGCAAGUCUUUGGCGAAUCUGUGCUUGCACAGGCUAGCCAAGGCGGACGGGUGAGUAACGCGUAAAGAACUUGCCCUGCAGACAGGGAUAACAGACGGAAACGACUGAUAACACCUGAUACAAUUGCCGGCACGCAUGUGCCUGGCAAUGAAAAGAGAUGCUGCGGGAGAGCUUUGCGUCCUAUUAGCUUGUUGGUGAGGUAACGGCUCACCAAGGCGAUGAUAGGUAGCCGGCCUGAGAGGGUGAACGGCCACAAGGGGACUGAGAUACGGCCCUUACUCCUACGGGAGGCAGCAGUGGGGAAUAUUGGACAAUGGGGGCAACCCUGAUCCAGCAAUUCUGUGUGCACGAAGAAGGUUUUCGGAUUGUAAAGUGCUUUCAGCAGGGAAGAAGAAAGUGACGGUACCUGCAGAAGAAGCGACGGCUAAAUACGUGCCAGCAGCCGCGGUAAUACGUAUGUCGCAAGCGUUAUCCGGAAUUAUUGGGCAUAAAGGGCAUCUAGGCGGCCAGACAAGUCUGGGGUGAAAACUUGCGGCUCAACCGCAAGCCUGCCCUGGAAACUGUUUGGCUAGAGUGCUGGAGAGGUGGACGGAACUGCACGAGUAGAGGUGAAAUUCGUAGAUAUGUGCAGGAAUGCCGAUGAUGAAGAUAGUUCACUGGACGGCAACUGACGCUGAAGUGCGAAAGCUAGGGGAGCGAACAGG
RNAcentral lists this ribosomal RNA (732 nucleotides) under uncultured Leptotrichia sp. Its description in RNAcentral is "bacterial SSU rRNA". It matches the Rfam family "Bacterial small subunit ribosomal RNA", at positions 28 to 776 of the family's 1533-position model. Lineage: Bacteria; Fusobacteriati; Fusobacteriota; Fusobacteriia; Fusobacteriales; Leptotrichiaceae. The record is from RNAcentral.